ACUCAAAUGAAUUGACGGGGACCCGCACAAGCAGUGGAUUGUCUGGUUUAAUUCGAUGAUAAGCGAAGAACCUCACCUGGGCUUGAACUGUAGCUGCACCGCCGAUGAAAGUCGGAAGCCUUCGAGGGUGCUACAGAGGUGCUGCAUGGCUGUCGUCAGCUCGUGUCGUGAGAUGUCGGGUUAAGUCCCACAACGAGCGCAACCCCUAUUCGAUGUUAUAUUACUUCGAACACUGCCCCGCCAAAACGGGGAGGAAGGAGGGGAUGACGUCCAGUCAUCAUAUCCCUUAUGUCCAGGGCUACACAGGCAAUACAAUGGCUACUACAAUGGGCUGCCAAACCGCGAGGUGGAGCUAAUCCCAUCAAAAGUAGCCUCAGUUCAGAUUGCAGGCUGAAACUCGCCUGCAUGAAGGUGGAAUUGCUAGUAAUCGUGCAUCAGCAUGGCACGGUGAAUACGUUCUCGGGUCUUGUACACACCGCCCGU
Molecule: ribosomal RNA, 483 nt
Filed under: uncultured bacterium
Lineage: Bacteria
Description: partial 16S ribosomal RNA
Rfam family: Bacterial small subunit ribosomal RNA
Source: RNAcentral